AACUGUAAGCGGGGGAACUACUUCGUAGUUGAGAAGGUAAAACCUGACCCUUUGAACCUGUUGGUUAAGACCAACGCAGGGAAGCGAUCAAUAUCAGUGU
RNAcentral lists this non-coding RNA (100 nucleotides) under Oscillibacter valericigenes. RNAcentral describes it as "TPP sequence". It matches the Rfam family "TPP riboswitch aptamer (THI element)". From Rfam's summary of the family: Vitamin B(1) in its active form thiamin pyrophosphate (TPP) is an essential coenzyme that is synthesised by coupling of pyrimidine and thiazole moieties in bacteria. The previously detected thiamin-regulatory element, thi box was extended, resulting in a new, highly conserved RNA secondary structure, the THI element, which is widely distributed in eubacteria and also occurs in some archaea. Analysis of operon structures identified a large number of new candidate thiamin-regulated genes, mostly transporters, in various prokaryotic organisms. Lineage: Bacteria; Bacillati; Bacillota; Clostridia; Eubacteriales; Oscillospiraceae. The record is from RNAcentral.